AUGGUGUGCCGCCGCCGCCAUCGCCGCCGCAACCACCGGGACGGCGGCUGGUCUCCUCUGCGCGGAUGCAGGCGUCCCGGUGGGUCUGGUCGGGAGGGACGAGGCCUCCUCGCCCACCACGGGGAGCGCGCUGAACAUCUCCAUUGGCCGCAGACCGUGGAAGCAUCAUCUCGCUGCCCCUACGAGUUCGCCGCCAAGCUGCUCGUCGCCGUGGUGCUUGCCAUCACGCACCGGCCACCAUGGCUCGUCGGCACCAGCUUUGCCGCUGCGCACUUCUCCCGCGGCCAUCAUGCAGCCGUGGCCACCACCAGCUCGCAGCCUCUGCUACCACCACCACUCCUGCUGCUCGCCAUGACCACACCCAAGAAGAAACGUAAUCGCAAUAGGGCUUCACAGGAACGCCUGACUAUAUUUACCGAGGGAUUCACCGACGACCAGAAGGGAGCUGCUGCUGAAUUGGGGAUGCAGGCUCUGAUGGAUGUUCGGUGCAAGAAUCUAGUGAACCCUCUCAUGUACGUCGAUCGUCUUGAUCUGUCCACUGUGGACUUUACUGGGAUAGGAGGCCCGCCGCCUCCACACAAGUUUGUUGUUUCUGCGUGGACUUACGAUGCUGUGAAGGCUGUGCUUGCCGCGGACAAGAUAACUGAUACGAAAUACGGGAAACUGCAGGCGAGGGCACCUGUUGAGCAUCUAAUUGGGCAGUUUGCAUCCGGAAUGACCAGCUUGCUCGGGAAGUUGGUUGAGGGUUGGACGUCCCUUAAUGGCUCUGACAGCGACGCGGUUGCGAGGCAUUUCACUCCUUUUGUUGCAGAAUGGACACAUCGGCCAACUGGUUGCCGUGGUCGGUACGACUACAAAAGCUCGCAGGAGCUUUCGGACACACAAGAUGAACUAGAUGGAGAUGCUGCUCUCGACAAGGACGAUGACGAUAACAUGGAGAACGUGCAUCAUGACACCGACGAUGAUGAACAUGUUGAAGUUCGUGCAGGUGGUAAGAAGGGCAAGGGUGCACCAGAUGUCCCCUCACCGGAGAAAGUCAAAGAACAUACAGCUGCGAGAGGCAAGGGGGUGUCGCCCUCAAAGAGGGGGAGGGAUCCAGAGGAUGUUGGGCAGGGCUCUCCUGUCAAGAGACCUAGGACCGAUCCCUUAGCUGCUAGGAGGAGGGUGAAGAAGACUACCACACGCGUGACGAAGCAGAACCCCAAAGACCCACUCGAACGCAUACACUCAAAGCUGUCGACAGGUGGCAACUCAGACGUUCAUGAGGCGCCAGUGGACAAACCUGCUGCUGCAGCGUCCACUGUUCCCACUAGCUCUGAUGCAAGUGGCCGAGCAUCUCCGCCGGUUGCAGAUGUGCAGGCUACGACAGCAGGCAUCCAUACAUCUGGGAGUGACGAGUCGGUAUCUGCCAGGACUGCUAAAAUAUUGCCCACUCUGCUAGCAAUGAAGGAUGCUGCUGUGAGCCAUGCCACCCGAUCAGCAAGUGUUGAAGUGGACGCCCCCGAGAUCAACCUAAGCAAGGAAGAUUCCCGCUCAUCUGACACGGAUUCCAAGCGCGUAGGUGGUGGCACUUCUUCGUCCACGAAAGAAGGGGCUGAGGCGACAGUUCACAAUGAUAUGCCAUCCAUAGGUGAGACUCUUGGCACAACAGCUCCAGCUUCUGGUGCUCCAGAGGUUGCCAAGGUGACCGUUGCACGAGCUGGUCUUCCACCUAGGCGUCGUAGCCCCCGCAAGCAAUCUGCAGACAUACCCAACGCGCCGGCUGUAGCUAGGAGCAGCAGAGAUGACUCUGGUUAUGUGCCUGCAUCCACACUGUUCCCACCACCUGCCAGAAGCAAUGUUAUGGAGAGAACGGAAGACCGGAGUACAACCGACACAGGUGGCAAUCCGGGCACGACUGACGGAGGCAUGGCCCCAAUGAUGGCGCAGCCAAUGGUCGAGGGCAGGAAGGCUGUGAAGUUCACAGAGCCGGUUGUGCAAGCCACCCCUGAGGAGAUUACACCAUCACUUGAUGAAGCUUACCGCAGGAUUGAGGAGGCAGCAUUGCAGAGGAGGUCCUCACGAGGUCAGGGCCAAUCAAGUUCCAACGCGUCUGCUGAGUCGGUAUCUGAGGAUACCAUUAGAAGUGCCACCCCUGGUUCUGUGAGGCAGCGUAGGGUAGUUCACGCGCCACCCGCGGAUGAUUAUGAGCCGGAAGUCAAGGCCAGAAAGGAUCAGAACCAGCUGUACGAUAUUGUCAAGCGCUUUGGAAAUGCGAGGUCCAACAGCAAUCACAUGAAGGAGCUGAAAGCAACCAAGAUCAUACAAUGUGAUGCGACGUACGUCGACCUGGGUGAUCUUGCCGAGUCUAUGAGGCCACUCGGUAAAAUGUCGAAGAAUGUAGUUGCAAGUGGGAUUGACUUCAUCAACAGGCAUAUGGAUAUGUCUCCCGACAAAACAAUCAUGCAGUACACUGUGAUGUGCAAAAUAUGGGAUGGUGACUUCCACCACAAAAUCCUGAGGAAGCAUUUUGCUGCGCAUGGUGAUUUCAAGCUCACAAUGAAGAAAAUGUCUGUUUCAUGUGGCAACAGCUGCCAUGUCUUGUUCCCCAUGUUCCAGGAGCUUGCACCACACGACCCACAUGACAAGUGUGGUCACCACUAUGCGAUCUGCCUUGACCUGAAGAACCAAUGUUUUAAGGUGCUUGAUUCAAUGCGUUCAGAAGCUGAUGCAGACCUUACUACGCAUGCUGAAUACUUCAUCAACAACCUCAAAGAGACAUGGAACCGUCACUACGAAAACUCAAAGGUCCAGAUCAGACAUUUUCCAAUUGAGUACGUGGCGACUACGAAGCACGACUGCGGCUUCCACACGUUGGAAUACCUUGCAAAGUGGGAAGGUCGACGGGUUCCUGUCAUCACAGCUGGAAUGGUCGUCGAGCUCCGCAAAAUUUACACAUGGAACUGGUUGAUGAAUGAAGAUUUCAACACGCGGUCCAACGCACAUCCUACCUCUGAGUUUUCAGAUGAUGGCCCUCUGGACGAAGGCACACUUGAUGUGCGGGGGAACCUGUAGAAGGCCGGCGAUGGAGGUAGGGGAUCAAGAGGUGGGAGACGAUGGUGGCAGUCGGGACUGGGGAUCGAAAGGAGGCCGGGACGGCUGGGUCGUGCGGGCAGCGUGGUCGUCUGGCCCGGACGUAUGGGCGGGUUUGCCACACACCGGACGUGCGGGCUGUGGCUUUGCGCGCUCGGAUGCGGUCGUGCGUGCGGGUUCCUAUCCAUGCCACACGAGGCGUGCGGCACAACCAUCCGAUACACCACACGUGUGGCAGUUAUCCGGACCCGAACUGAACUAAACGACGAUGUGCUCACGGAGAUACUCCUACGCCUGCCGCCCAAGUCCGUCCUCCGCUCCCGCGCCGUCUGCAAGCACUGGCGCCGCGCCACCACCCGCGACUCCUUCCUUGCGGCCUACUCCCGCCGCCGGCCGCUCGAGCUCAUCCUUUACCCGAACCGCCACAUGUGCACUCGCAAGGAGACCCACGUGGUCCCACUCCCACUCGAGGGCGGCGACGGUGCCGGAUGCCCGCGUCUCCGGACCUCUCUGAAACUUUUCGGUUCCUGCGAUGGCCUGCUGUUGUUCAUGGACGGCGAGGACUUCGUCAUCUGCAACCCGGCGACACGGCAGUGGGCGAGAUUUCCGGCGCUGUCACCGGCGCCGUGCAAGUGGGUCAUACCGUCAGGUUUCUACCUCCACCGGUCCUCCGGCGAGCACCGCGUGCUCUGCAUCGCAGAGGACAUCCCACCCACCAUGUACUAUGAUUGGUCCCGACGCGUCUAUAGGCAUUUCAACCCCGGCGUCGACCCGUGGGCCACCGGUGACGCUGCCCCUCGGCGCCUCGGCCCUUUCGCCGAGUACCGCGGGAACCAUCCGUGGCCGCCCAGCGGCGUGGACAUUGGCGGGACUCUGCACUGGGCGCGCCAUUCAUGGACCGGCAAGGACUCCACCUCCAUGCUGGCCUUCGACACGGUCUCGGAGAAAUUCCGGCGGAUGCCGCUGCCACCCGCCGCCGCGACAGUCCCGGAUCACUUGAUGAACCUGUUCGACCUGCGAGGAACGCUCGCCGCGUCGGCGAUGGGCGAGUGGCCGCACCUGGACGUUUGGACCCUCGACGACUACGACAGCGAGAGGUGGUCGCACCGCGUGCGUGUCGAGCUCCCUGCGGCCGCGACGGGACCUUACGGCCGCAAGUUCGGAGCGGCCGUGGCGGCGCUCGAGGGUGACGUGCUUGUCCUGUUCGCCGUCGGUGCCUGGGUGACGCUCUACGACGUCAAGGAGAAGAGGACGGUGCGCGUGGUCCGUUGCGGCGAUAAUCGCGGUGACACGUGCUGGUGCGUCCACAGGGAGAGCCUCGCGCCGGCGGUCAUCCAUGGCUUGUCCGGCGUGGUACCCGCCCAUCACCAACUGGAAGGGUGUGCUGCGAUUCACUACUCCUCAGAUGACACAUGA
Molecule: ribosomal RNA, 4488 nt
Filed under: Triticum aestivum (bread wheat)
Lineage: Eukaryota; Viridiplantae; Streptophyta; Magnoliopsida; Poales; Poaceae
Description: partial small subunit ribosomal RNA
Source: RNAcentral